Long non-coding RNA from Mus caroli (Ryukyu mouse), 1358 nucleotides. RefSeq lists it as uncharacterized. Lineage: Eukaryota; Metazoa; Chordata; Mammalia; Rodentia; Muridae. The record is from RefSeq and is a predicted model, not a curated record.
GUAAAUCUGCCAAAGAUGUCACUUCAUCAGGAACUGAGCAAUUUCCACUCCUUUUGUACAGCUGUGGGUAAGGCUGAGGUGACAACUGUGAACUGUUCCCUACUGCAAGCCUGUGCUUCUAAUUAUGGUGCAGGAGCCUUCAUUAUGGAAAGAGGUCAUCAAAGAAACAAUGGAACGUUGGAAUCCACUAUGCUCACGUGGGAACACGUGCACUCUGUGACUCAUUUGCUUCAUUCAAUAACAUGCUCAUACAGCGACCUGAACUUUGUGUAACUGCGUGGAUAUACCUCAGGAUUGGCAGUGGAGGUGGCGACAGUAUCCAAGUACAGAAGAAGGAAUGUGUAGGUAGGAGCUAUCCGGAAGAUGUCACACGGGAGGCAAGCGCACCUGAAGGGUGAGGAAAAUCCUUCAGGGAAGAGGGAGGAGAGCGGAAAUCGAAGGCUUCUCAGGCUCUCGGUGUUUCAGGGAGUUGAUUUUAAACCUUUCAACAGGUUGUGGAUGGAGUGAAGAGUUUUAACCAUGCUUCUGUAAAACCGUUAUUCACUUGAUGCACGUAGGAUUGUUAUUGUUGCUUCUGAAUUGAAGCUACAGCCUUGGAGAAGCCUUCCAUCAGGCACACUGGAGAUUCUCUAACUCACCACCAGAUGGACCUAUUUGAUAUGUUGUUUUCCAAGAAAAAGCAACCAAUUUCAUAAUGAAGUCUUUCUGACAGGGAUUUAGAUUACUUAUUUUUAAAAUAAUAUUUAACCUUGAAUUUUUGAUAUAGUCAAAAAGUCACUUAUACAUGGUAAUGAAUAAAUGUACCUAUGUACUAUGUGUCACUAUGUACAUAGUGUCAGUGAAAACAAAUACCCGCAUAGGCAAAGUGUUUGUUGCCGGUUAUUUCUUUUUUAGAUUGGGGUUUCAUCUAUCUUGGGAUGACCUCAAACUCAUGUGGCCAAGGAUGACCUUGGACUUCUGAUCUUAGAGCUUCUGCUAAGUCAACAUGCCCUGUUUACUCUGGGCUGGAGAUCAGAUUCAGAGGUUUAUGUGUGCUUAGCAAGCAAGCAUUCUACAACUAAGCCACAACCCCAUCUCUGAAGCGGGGUGAUUUGGGUGUUUGGUGUUGGUUUGGGUUGGUGUUUGUCUUUUUUACUGUUUUGGGGGUCAAAGCCAAGGUUUCCCGAAUGCCUGGCAAAUGUUCUCCUACUGAGCUGCCUGCCCAGCUGAAAAUCUUUACAACUAUCUCCAAGCUUAAGGAACAGAAUAUAGCCAAAUAAAUCCUUGAAACCAAUGUGACACUCUCCCAUCUUACUUUCCUUUGUACAUGGAUCAACAACCAUGAUGAAUUAUAAAUUAACAGCUAUUCUGAAAAAUCA